Molecule: non-coding RNA, 943 nt
Organism: Oryza sativa Japonica Group (Japanese rice)
Lineage: Eukaryota; Viridiplantae; Streptophyta; Magnoliopsida; Poales; Poaceae
Source: RefSeq, a predicted model, not a curated record
CCAGCCCCCACCACACGUCCACCAUGACGCCAUCGACGCCGGCCUCCGUCAGCUUCUUCAGCUGUGCCCGGGUCUCAUCGACCUUCUCGAACUUGUUGUCCACAGUCACCACAUCCAGCUACAUAUCUCGCAACAGAAUUCAGGACGCUCAUGGGCUAUUUAUACUUGCAAAAAGGAGAGGGGGGCUCUUCUCCACCGGCGGGAACCAACCAAUCCUUUUCUUCCAGUUCCAUGGUAAUAGAAGCUCUUUGUGAAAUUGGGGAUCCAAAUGGUUCGGAUGUUGAUGCAAUUUGCCACUACAUAGAGGUUGUGCAUCUGCACAAAUUUUCUUAUUUGGUAUCACUAUUUGCCAGUAGUUAUUUUUAUUUCUUCUGAAUUCAUUCAAGUUUUGUUCGUUCUUGAUUUCGUAAUAAAUUAUGAUUCAGAUAUGUGUACAACUAACAUGAUCAGAAUAUUAACAAAAUGCGAUUGCUUGAUUCUUUUUCUCUUCUGAAUCAUUGCCUGAUUGACUGUAUGGUAUAAAGUCCCUCAGUUAUUGGUAUAUAUGUGUGCCAUUGUGUUUAUUUCAGCUUCCUAUACUUUAGGAAGCUUCUAAAAGUGCCUUUGCUACUACCGGAGCUUUCACUUUGGAUUUUAUAAUAAUUUCCUGCACAACUACCAUUUCCCAUUUCCCGCUAUCUUCCUCGCAUAAUCAAUAGCUGGGUACACAUUUAGGGCCUCUGCAUGACGAGUUGAUGACUAUGCAUAACAUUGGUUGGAGGAUAGGGAAGCCUCACUGAGCUGCCUCACUGAGCUAUCUUCUCAGCAUUUGUUUUGAUUUGAGGGAAAUUUGCGAUUUAAAGAUUUUGCAAUUAUAACUCUGCAUCAAGCCCAUAAUUCAGAUUCUUCAUUUUACUUCUCUUUUGUAAAAUUGGCAUUCAAUAACUCAAUUUACAAUUAUUCA